AUUGAACGCUGGCGGCAUGCCUUACACAUGCAAGUCGAACGGUAACGGGCCUUCGGGUGCCGACGAGUGGCGAACGGGUGAGUAAUACAUCGGAACGUGCCCGAUCGUGGGGGAUAACGAGGCGAAAGCUUUGCUAAUACCGCAUACGAUCUACGGAUGAAAGCGGGGGACCGCAAGGCCUUGCGCGGACGGGGCGGCCGAUGGCAGAUUAGGUAGUUGGUGGGUUAAAAGCUUACCAAGCCGACGAUCUGUAACUGGUCUGAGAGGAUGAUCAGCCACACUGGGACUGAGACACGGCCCAGACUCCUACGGGAGGCAGCAGUGGGGAAUUUUGGACAAUGGGCGCAAGCCUGAUCCAGCCAUGCCGCGUGCAGGAUGAAGGCCUUCGGGUUGUAAACUGCUUUUGUACGGAACGAAAAGCCUUCUUUUAAUACAGGAGGGUCAUGACGGUACCGUAAGAAUAAGCACCGGCUAACUACGUG
This 482-nucleotide ribosomal RNA is filed under the name uncultured bacterium. RNAcentral's name for it is "partial 16S ribosomal RNA". It matches the Rfam family "Bacterial small subunit ribosomal RNA", at positions 30 to 507 of the family's 1533-position model. The record is from RNAcentral.